GCCACCUCCAACCACCAACCCAUGUGACAAUCUGUUAAAAAUACACUGCACAAGGGCUACAAGUCUUAAUAGCCCCUUCCCUUAAUUAUAUAUACAUGCAACGUGUUCCAUGCCUCAGGAAUUAAUGGCAGAUGGGCCUGGAAGCAUAUGAUUCCCCAGACUUUGAAGGACAGAACAGGCACCUUCCUCCUAGUUUCCUUGCCGGUUGGGCACUCACGUGAAUUUCAAGGCCUUGCCUUCUAGGUUUGGCCUAAAAGUUUAUAAGGAAUCCAAGCCAAUGACCGCAAAUAUACCCAUCCGAAGGCUGAAGCUACAGAAAAACAUGCAAACAAGCGGUUGAUCGUUUUCCAAUUUCGACUGUCUUACUCUAGAGGGCAGCAUCCACUUGUUUCACAAGCCAAUCAAGUAUUGAAUAUCCUCUUAUGGAUUUAAAGAGGAUAAUUUCAAUAGUUAUGUUCAACUAUUCACUCGCUAAUUGACGCAUAACUUCAAUUAAUUUGAGUACAAUUUGUCUAGAAUAACACUAGCCAUGUAGAAAAGAUAAAAGAACCAACAACACUCCUUCCUUUAAUGAUCCAAGUCUGGGGCACAAUAACAAUACCAACUCACUUGCAUAAAUUAUCCAAGAUUACAAAGAUCAUGGGAAAAAAAAAAAAUUAUAUAUAGGUUGCAACCGCAUUGCCAUGGUUGCAGUGAUGCUGGCGGGUAAAUCAUAUUUCUCCUGUAUUAAUUAUGAAUGUUGACAUGUGGCUCAAUGCUCAGUGAAUCUCUCAAGGACUUCAAAGUAGUCG
RNAcentral lists this unclassified non-coding RNA (791 nucleotides) under Hevea brasiliensis (rubber tree). Lineage: Eukaryota; Viridiplantae; Streptophyta; Magnoliopsida; Malpighiales; Euphorbiaceae. The record is from RNAcentral.